Molecule: ribosomal RNA, 568 nt
Filed under: uncultured archaeon
Lineage: Archaea
Description: bacterial SSU rRNA
Rfam family: Archaeal small subunit ribosomal RNA
Source: RNAcentral
AUAGGCGAGGGGCGCUGGAAUGUUCCCUCGUCGAAAGCUCCGGCGCUCGAGGAUGGGACUGCGGCCUAUCAGGCUGUUGGUGGUGUAACGGACCACCAAACCUACAACGGGUACGGGCGAUGGGAGUCGGAGCCCGGAGAUGGGGACUGAGACAAGGCCCCAGGCCCUACGGGGCGCAGCAGGCGCGAAAACUCCGCAAUGCGCGAAAGCGUGACGGGGGGAUCCCAAGUGCCGCUGAUCUUUGAUCGGCGGCUUUUCGGGAGUGUACGAAGCUUCCGGAAUAAGAGCUGGGUAAGUCUGGUGCCAGCCGCCGCGGUAACACCAGCAGCUCAAGUGGUGGUCGCGAUUAUUGGGCCUAAAGCACUCGUAGCCGGGUUUGCAAGUCCCUUGUGAAAUCGGAUCGCCUAACGGUUCGGCUUGCAAGGGAUACUGCUCGCCUUGGGGUCGGGAGACGUCGGAAGAAUUCCGAGGGUAGCGGUGAAAUGCUGUAAUCCUUGGAGGACUACCAGUAGCGAAGGCGUCCGACGAGAACGAACCCGACGGUGAGGGGUGAAGGCUAGGGGAGCGA